RNAcentral lists this ribosomal RNA (58 nucleotides) under Rhynchostegium riparioides. Its description in RNAcentral is "partial 26S ribosomal RNA". Lineage: Eukaryota; Viridiplantae; Streptophyta; Bryopsida; Hypnales; Brachytheciaceae. RNAcentral also lists the same sequence under 6 other names. The record is from RNAcentral.
CAGACCUCUAAUCGGAAAAGACUACCCGCUGAGUUUAAGCAUAUCACUAAGCGGAGGA